UGGGGAAUAUUGGACAAUGGGGGCAACCCUGAUCCAGCCAUGCCGCGUGUGUGAAGAAGGCCUUCGGGUUGUAAAGCACUUUCAGCGGGGAGGAAGGCGUCGUGACUAAUAUUCACGGCGAUUGACGUUACCCGCAGAAGAAGCACCGGCUAACUCCGUGCCAGCAGCCGCGGUAAUACGGAGGGUGCGAGCGUUUAUCGGAAUUACUGGGCGUAAAGCGCGCGUAGGCGGCUUGUUAAGUCGGAUGUGAAAUCCCCGGGCUCAACCUGGGAACUGCAUCCGAUACUGGCGAGCUGGAGUGCGAUAGAGGGGGGUAGAAUUCCUAGUGUAGCGGUGAAAUGCGUAGAUAUUAGGAGGAAUACCGGUGGCGAAGGCGGCCCCCUGGAUCGACACUGACGCUGAGGUGCGAAAGCGUGGGUAGCAAACAGGAUUAGAUACCCUGGUAGUCCACGCCGUAAACGAUGUCUACUAGCCGUUGGAGAUCUUGAAUCUUUAGUGGCGCAGCUAACGCGAUAAGUAGACCGCCUGGGGAGUACGGCCGCAAGGUUAA
This 550-nucleotide ribosomal RNA is filed under the name uncultured Gammaproteobacteria bacterium. Its description in RNAcentral is "bacterial SSU rRNA". It matches the Rfam family "Bacterial small subunit ribosomal RNA", at positions 355 to 897 of the family's 1533-position model. Lineage: Bacteria; Pseudomonadati; Pseudomonadota; Gammaproteobacteria. The record is from RNAcentral.